GACGAACGCUGGCGGCGUGCUUAACACAUGCAAGUCGAACGGAAAGGCCCCUUUGGGGGUACUCGAGUGGCGAACGGGUGAGUAACACGUGAGUAACCUGCCCUUGACUUCGGGAUAACUUCAGGAAACUGGGGCUAAUACCGGAUAGGAAUCCUUGCUGCAUGGUGGGGGUUGGAAAGUUCCGGCGGUUUUGGGUGGACCCGCGGCUUUUCGGCUUGUUGGUGGGUUAGUGGCUUACCAAGGCUUUGACGGGUAGCCGGCCUGAGAGGGCGACCGGCCACAUUGGGACUGAGAUACGGCCCAGACUCCUACGGGAGGCAGCAGUGGGGAAUAUUGCACAAUGGGCGGAAGCCUGAUGCAGCAACGCCGCGGGCGGGAUGACGGCCUUCGGGUUGUAAACCGCUUUCAGCAGGGGCGAAGCUUGUGGUGACGGUACCUGCAGAAGAAGCACCGGCUAACUACGUG
Molecule: ribosomal RNA, 465 nt
Filed under: uncultured bacterium
Lineage: Bacteria
Description: partial 16S ribosomal RNA
Rfam family: Bacterial small subunit ribosomal RNA
Source: RNAcentral